UACGUAGGGUGCGAGCGUUGUCCGGAAUCACUGGGCGUAAAGCGCGUGUAGGUGGUCUUUUAAGUCUGGUGUGAAAGCCCGGGGCUUACCCCCGGAAGGGCACUGGAUACUGGGAGACUAGAGUACCGGAGGGGAAGGUGGAAUUCCUGGUGUAGCGGUGAAAUGCGUAGAUAUCAGGAGGAACACCGGUGGCGAAGGCGGCCUUCUGGACGGCUACUGACACUGAGACGCGAAAGCGUGGGGAGCAAACAGG
This 253-nucleotide ribosomal RNA is filed under the name uncultured bacterium. RNAcentral's name for it is "partial 16S ribosomal RNA". It matches the Rfam family "Bacterial small subunit ribosomal RNA", at positions 524 to 776 of the family's 1533-position model. The record is from RNAcentral.